CAGAGGUCGCAAGCGUUAAUCGGAUUUACUGGGCGUAAAGCGUGCGUAGGAGGCCACCUAAGUCGGUUGUGAAAUCCCCGGGCUCAACCUGGGAAUUGCAGUCGAUACUGGGCGGCUAGAGUUCGGUAGAGGGCAGCGGAACUCCAGGUGUAGCGGUGAAAUGUGUAGAUAUCUGGAAGAACACCGAUGGCGAAGGCAACUGCCUGGGCCUGAACUGACUCUGAGGCACGAAAGCGUGGGGAGCAAACAGGAUUAGAUACCCUGGUAGUCCACGCCUUAAACGAUGGAAACCUGACGUCGGUUUGCUCUGCGAAUCGGUGUCGUAGCUAACGCGCUAAGUUUCCCGCCUGGGGAGUACGGCCGCAAGGUUG
RNAcentral lists this ribosomal RNA (371 nucleotides) under uncultured organism. RNAcentral describes it as "bacterial SSU rRNA". It matches the Rfam family "Bacterial small subunit ribosomal RNA", at positions 526 to 896 of the family's 1533-position model. The record is from RNAcentral.